AUUGAACGCUGGCGGCAUGCCUUACACAUGCAAGUCGAACGGCAGCGGACCUUCGGGUGCCGGCGAGUGGCGAACGGGUGAGUAAUAUAUCGGAACGUACCUUUCAGUGGGGGAUAACGUAGCGAAAGUUACGCUAAUACCGCAUAUUCUGUGAGCAGGAAAGCAGGGGAUCGCAAGACCUUGCGCUGAUUGAGCGGCCGAUAUCAGAUUAGCUAGUUGGUGAGGUAAAGGCUCACCAAGGCGACGAUCUGUAGCGGGUCUGAGAGGAUGAUCCGCCACACUGGAACUGAGACACGGUCCAGACUCCUACGGGAGGCAGCAGUGGGGAAUUUUGGACAAUGGGGGCAACCCUGAUCCAGCCAUGCCGCGUGAGUGACGAAGGCCUUCGG
RNAcentral lists this ribosomal RNA (389 nucleotides) under uncultured bacterium. Its description in RNAcentral is "bacterial SSU rRNA". It matches the Rfam family "Bacterial small subunit ribosomal RNA", at positions 30 to 421 of the family's 1533-position model. The record is from RNAcentral.